AUAUUAGGUACUAAUAUUAGUACCUAAUUGUAGUAUCUGUUCUUAUCAGUUUAAUAUCUGAUCCGUCCUCUAUACGAGGACUACAUAUUAAAUUGAUUUUUAGAACAGGGAGCCGGAAGAGGGGCUUGCUCCGUCCGCUCCACGCAGCGACCUGGUAUUGCAGUACCUCCGGGAACAGUAAUUGUG
Small nuclear RNA from Pygocentrus nattereri (red-bellied piranha), 186 nucleotides. Its record names the gene U2. It matches the Rfam family "U2 spliceosomal RNA". From Rfam's summary of the family: U2 is a small nuclear RNA (snRNA) component of the spliceosome (involved in pre-mRNA splicing). Complementary binding between U2 snRNA (in an area lying towards the 5' end but 3' to hairpin I) and the branchpoint sequence (BPS) of the intron results the bulging out of an unpaired adenosine, on the BPS, which initiates a nucleophilic attack at the intronic 5' splice site, thus starting the first of two transesterification reactions that mediate splicing. The record is from Ensembl. NCBI's taxonomy places the organism in Eukaryota, Metazoa, Chordata, Actinopteri, Characiformes, Serrasalmidae.